AAUGAACGCUGGCGGCAGGCCUAACACAUGCAAGUCGAACGGAUCCUUCGGGAUUAGUGGCGGACGGGUGAGUAACGCGUGGGAACAUACCCAAAGGUACGGAAUAGCCUCGGGAAACUGGGAGUAAUACCGUAUGUGCUCGAAAGAGGAAAGAUUUAUCGCCUUUGGAUUGGCCCGCGUUGGAUUAGGUAGUUGGUGGGGUAAUGGCCUACCUAGCCGACGAUCCAUAGCUGGUUUGAGAGGAUGAUCAGCCACACUGGGACUGAGACACGGCCCAGACUCCUACGGGAGGCAGCAGUGGGGAAUCUUAGACAAUGGGGGAAACCCUGAUCUAGCCAUGCCGCGUGAUCGAUGAAGGCCUUAGGGUUGUAAAGAUCUUUCAGGUGGGAAGAUAAUGACUGUACCACCAGAAGAAGCCCCGGCCAACUCCGUGCCAGCAGCCGCGGUAA
This 449-nucleotide ribosomal RNA is filed under the name uncultured bacterium. RNAcentral describes it as "partial 16S ribosomal RNA". It matches the Rfam family "Bacterial small subunit ribosomal RNA", at positions 29 to 523 of the family's 1533-position model. The record is from RNAcentral.